UGGGGAAUAUUGGGCAAUGGGCGAAAGCCUGACCCAGCAAUGCCGCGUGAAGGACGAAGGUCUUCGGAUUGUAAACUUCUUUGAUCAGGGACGAAUAAAUGACGGUACCUGAAGAACAAGCCACGGCUAACUACGUGCCAGCAGCCGCGGUAAUACGUAGGGGGCUAGCGUUAUCCGGAUUUACUGGGCGUAAAGGGUGCGUAGGUGGUCUUUCAAGUCGGUGGUUAAAGGCUACGGCUCAACCGUAGUUAGCCUCCGAAACUGGAAGACUUGAGUGCAGGAGAGGAAAGUGGAAUUCCCAGUGUAGCGGUGAAAUGCGUAGAUAUUGGGAGGAACACCAGUAGCGAAGGCGGCUUUCUAGACUGCAACUGACACUGAGGCACGAAAGCGUGGGUAGCAAACAGG
RNAcentral lists this ribosomal RNA (405 nucleotides) under Verrucomicrobiota bacterium. RNAcentral describes it as "Verrucomicrobia bacterium partial 16S ribosomal RNA". It matches the Rfam family "Bacterial small subunit ribosomal RNA", at positions 355 to 776 of the family's 1533-position model. The record is from RNAcentral. Lineage: Bacteria; Pseudomonadati; Verrucomicrobiota.